This 207-nucleotide ribosomal RNA is filed under the name uncultured bacterium. Its description in RNAcentral is "partial 16S ribosomal RNA". It matches the Rfam family "Bacterial small subunit ribosomal RNA", at positions 568 to 774 of the family's 1533-position model. The record is from RNAcentral.
CUCGUAGGCGGUUCGUCGCGUCCGGUGUGAAAGUCCAUCGCCUAACGGUGGAUCUGCGCCGGGUACGGGCGGGCUGGAGUGCGGUAGGGGAGACUGGAAUUCCCGGUGUAACGGUGGAAUGUGUAGAUAUCGGGAAGAACACCAAUGGCGAAGGCAGGUCUCUGAGCCGUUACUGACGCUGAGGAGCGAAAGCGUGGGGAGCGAACA